RNAcentral lists this ribosomal RNA (81 nucleotides) under uncultured bacterium. RNAcentral's name for it is "partial 16S ribosomal RNA". The record is from RNAcentral.
GCCUCGAGCAUGAUUCUGGGGGUGGCCUUGGGUGCAGCAACGCUAGGACUCCGGAACGCAGGAGUUCAAGACCCAGCAGCU